Molecule: long non-coding RNA, 2886 nt
Filed under: Equus caballus (horse)
Lineage: Eukaryota; Metazoa; Chordata; Mammalia; Perissodactyla; Equidae
Description: lncRNA (ENSECAG00000054122.1)
Source: RNAcentral
UUAGACAAUGCAAAUUUUGGAAUUUGCAUUGAUGCUGCAAUGUGUUAAUAUUUGGGGAGAUGUUGGGAUAAGGCAAAUGUGUUUUGCAUGUUGGACAGAUGUGAAUCUUUGAGGCCCAGAGGACAGGCUGUGGUAAGCAGAAUAAUGGGCUCCCAAAGAUGCCUACAUCCUAAUUGCCAGAACCUGUUAUAUUACAUGGCAAAGAAGAAUUAAAUUUGCGGGUGGAAUUUGGGUUGCUAAUCAGCUGAUAUCCUGCAUUAUCUCCAUGGGCCCAAUGUAAUUACAGAGUCUUUAUAUGUGGAGGAAGAAGGCAGAAAAGCCUGUGUCAGACUUAUGUGAUGUGAGAAACCCUUGACUGGCCAUUUCUGGCUUUGAAAAUGGAGGAAGGCAUGAGCCAAGGAAUGACAGGAAACUCUAGAAUCUGGAAAAGGAAAGAAAAUUGAUUUUCCCCUGGAGUUUCCUGAAAGGAAUGCAGCUCUGCCCCAUCUUGAUUUAGGCCCAGUGAGAACCAUUUAAAACGUCUGACCUCCAGAACUGUAAGAUGACCAGGGAUGGUAAGAACAAUGUAAUUUGGAGGACAAAGGAAGAACUCAGAUUUCUUGGAUGACUUUACCAGUGAAAUGAGUUCCUGAUUCAUCUGAAAGGGCAAGUGGAAUACCCUAGGUCUAGUGGGGAACAUUAGUGCAGCUCAGCAAUAUUUCCAGUUAUUCUCUGUCUGGGCAUACUGAAGGAUUGCAUGGUGCUACUCCUCUUUGAAGAUGACAGAGGCCACAUGAUUUGCUUUGGCUGAUAAAUAGUGAGUGGAAGAAAUAUGCACCACUUUCAGAUGAAAAUAAUCAAUAACUGUAACUUGGCUUGUCAAACUGCUUUUUAUAUUCUUUCAUGUCAUUCAUGGAGGUGUCAUAAAAUUCACGCAUCCUGGAAAGCUGAGCCAACACAGAAGACAACUGACCUGGAAUGUCAGCCAGGCGUGUGAUGUAUUUUGCACAAGAUAUUUUUAUUGGAUUAAGCCACUGAGAUUUAGGGGCUGCCCGUUAACACAGCAAAGCUCAUCUUAUGCUACCUAUGUCUUCUACACCUGUGAAAUGUCUAUGGUGACUAUUAGAAUGUGUUUGAAUACAGCUGAACUUACUCUACCAAAUAUUAAAUAUUUAAGUGUUCUAAUUAGGUAAAAUUUGGAAAUCUUUGCAUAUCAUGGAUUUUUAUAUCAGCCCAAGUAUUUGAAAUACGUAGAAUAGUAUAUGAACAUGGCAGUAACAUGACAAAUAAGCAUCCCUUAGUAUUUAAAGGGCACUUAUAAAGUCUUUAUUAUCCUGGAAUAUUUAGUUCAAUGAAUACAAUAACAUCACAAGAAAGAAAACAUCAUGAAUAGAUAAAAUGUAGUUAUCCAUUUAUUUCUUAUUUCUGUAUUCACCAGGAAAGUUUUUUCUGUGUGUUCUUUUAUUUGUAAACAGCUACUUGGUAACUAAGAGGCAUUAAAUUAAAGACUAACUUGACUUUGCCAGGUCAUCAAAUUCUGAUCCAUAAUGAACUCUGUGUAUAAAUAAAAAGCAGAUCAUUUUUUUCCAUCAAAGAGGUAGUUCUUUACAUUUCUAAAUCCAAGUCUCUCAAUAUUCACUCUUUGUAGAAUUUUUAUAAGUGUGUAAGGGUAAAUGUACAAAUAGUCAAAGAACUGUAAGAGAGUAUUGUGGAUUGUUUGCCAUUAUGGCUGGAAUUAUUUUGCUUCCUUUACCCAUGCCCCUUUGAAGUGUGACAUUGUAGCUCAUCCCAACAAGAGAAAAGGCCUACUUCCCACCACACGGAUCUAGAGAGUUCUUAUGACUUCUUUGACAAAUAGAAUGUUGCAAGUGACAUUGUGCCAGUUACGAGCCUACAACUCAAGAGACAUGGCAUGUUUCCACUCACUCUCUUGGAACUCUCUUACUAUCAAGUGAUAAAACCUAGGCUAACCUGUUGAGGGAUCAGUAACAUGUGGCCCAGCCACCCUUGUUGCCCCUGCCAUUGCCUACCCAUUCAAUCACUAGACAUGUGAUUGACACCAUCCUAUAAGAACCAGCCUCUGACCAGCUCAUUUGCUAAAUAAAGAUUCAAUAUCAAGGCAUUCAAUAUCAAUCAUGUUUGGCCCAGAGCAGUGCAACUACCAACUCAAGCAUAGAUUCAUGAGCAAUGGCAAAUUGUUAUUGUUUUAAAUCAUUAAGUUUUUUUAAUGCAGAAAUAGAUUCUUGAUACAGACUGUUGAUUUAUUUGGUUAUCUUAUUUUUGUAAUAUUUGGAUCACUAGAAUGACAUGCAACAGUGUGUGAAAAUUAUGGAUAUAAAAAAUAAAAUAUAUGUUCUGGCUGUGUAUAUAAUCAUGAGCAUAACAACUUGGUGAUUGAUGGCCGAAAAACACAUGAUAAUUAAAAUUAGUCUGGUAUACUAUAUAAUAUUAACAAAGAUGCUCAUGUUUAGAAAAAAAGAUCAAAAUAAUAAUUCUUUGAAAAAUUAAAAGUUUAGGAUAUUAUUAGAAAAGAGUAUUUUAUAUAAUCUCAAAUUUUUUUUCAAGAGAGGUUUCUUGUCCAAAUAUUCGCCCCAAAAUACAUGAAAAACAAUAGGACUCUAAGGUAAAACAACAAAUUGUUCUUUAUUUCUCUCCUUGUUAUAUGUAAUUAUCCCUAAGAGAUCAAUAAAGCAUCCACAUGGUAGGAAUGCAUGAGUAGACAGAAGGGCAUUGAAGAAAUAUGGGAGUGAGGACCAGCGUAGAAGGUUAAAGAGAUGUACAAAACUACAAACUUUGGCACUAGUGAUUUACUAAAUAACCUCUAGUUACCUGAAAGAAAAUCUAGCCAAAAAGGACUAUUAAUUACAUCUUUGAAAGGCAACUUAGAAAACACCUCAUUUAACUGUC